This 914-nucleotide long non-coding RNA is filed under the name Lepidothrix coronata (blue-crowned manakin). RNAcentral's name for it is "lncRNA (ENSLCOG00000009031.1)". The record is from RNAcentral. Lineage: Eukaryota; Metazoa; Chordata; Aves; Passeriformes; Pipridae.
UAUUUUCUCUACUUUCAGAAGCUCCUCCGUCUCCUUCAGCCUACAGGCUGACCUCUAAAGAUGAUGAGGAUUUGGAAAUGUGCCUGAUCACAGAUUACUCCCCUGAAAAUGUCACUUUUUACACUGCUGAGAAGGCCACAUCUGCUGUUGUGGAGGUGGCAACAGCUGAGAACAGCGCGGAAUCGAGCUACCUGUCAACCUACUGGGCCAGGAGAGAUGAAAUGCAGUGUGGUGCCAGUCAUGUGGGCUUUGGAGAACUGGAGGGCGAGGACCCUGAAAGUGGUGCCAGCACUGUCUGUGUUACAGGGCUGUCCCUACACUUCAGGACAGAUGAACACCUGAACACACUGUCUUUAUCACAGCUGGGUCUGAAAAUAAUUUUAAUGAAAGGAUUAAUUUUUAAUGUGGUGAUGACAAUGCUCCUGUGGAAAAAAGAAAAUUGAAAGUAACCGGAUGGUGCAGUCCAAAAAAAUCUCCUGAGGAAUCUUUGAGAGACCAUUGAGAGCAAGAGUGAACACAGGAAUAUUCCUGAUGCAAGGAACAUCUCUUGUUGUUCUUAUAUAUCACACCAACCGUUCUAUUCUAAAUUGCUUUGUUUGCAUUGCUACAAAAUUACUCAAAACUAAGCUUAAAAUUUGCAGCUUUCUGCCCCCCCGAAUGGUUCAUUCACCUCUUCUGCAGGCAGCAGACAUUGCUAUAAAUAUAGAUUGCCAAACAUCACUGUUACUUGCACUAAAAUGACAAUUUCUGCCUGGAGCAGUGCUGUUUGUUGAAAACUGUGAGCUAAAUAUCACCUGAAUGUAAAUUUUUCCUAUUUUGGUAGAUUCAGGGUAUGCAUGUCUCUUAGGGUGCACCCCCUAGCCACCUUUUCAUGUACAAAUAAAACAAUUUGAAAAGCAAAGGGAGACUUUCUC